This 510-nucleotide ribosomal RNA is filed under the name uncultured bacterium. Its description in RNAcentral is "bacterial SSU rRNA". It matches the Rfam family "Bacterial small subunit ribosomal RNA", at positions 9 to 507 of the family's 1533-position model. The record is from RNAcentral.
CGUAGUUGAUCAGUGGCUCAGAGUGACGCUGGCGGCAGGCCUAAUACAUGCAAGUCGAACGGCAGCACAGCAGAGCUUGCUCUGUGGGUGGCGAGUGGCGGACGGGUGAGGAAUACGUGGGAAUCUGCCCAGUCGUGGGGGAUAACGUAGGGAAACUUACGCUAAUACCGCAUGCGCCCUUCGGGGGAAAGCCGGGGACCUUCGGGCCUGGCGCGAUUGGAUGAGCCCACGUCGGAUUAGCUAGUUGGCGGGGUAAAGGCCCACCAAGGCGACGAUCCGUAGCUGGUCUGAGAGGAUGAUCAGCCACACUGGAACUGAGACACGGUCCAGACUCCUACGGGAGGCAGCAGUAGGGAAUAUUGGACAAUGGGCGCAAGCCUGAUCCAGCCAUGCCGCGUGAGUGAAGAAGGCCCUCGGGUUGUAAAGCUCUUUUGUCCGGAAAGAAAAGCGCCGGGUUAAUACCCUGGUGUCCUGACGGUACCGGAAGAAUAAGCACCGGCUAACUUCGUG